RNAcentral lists this transfer RNA (69 nucleotides) under Hylarana erythraea (green paddy frog). RNAcentral describes it as "tRNA-Gly". It matches the Rfam family "tRNA". Rfam says of the family: Transfer RNA (tRNA) molecules are approximately 80 nucleotides in length. Their secondary structure includes four short double-helical elements and three loops (D, anti-codon, and T loops). Further hydrogen bonds mediate the characteristic L-shaped molecular structure. tRNAs have two regions of fundamental functional importance: the anti-codon, which is responsible for specific mRNA codon recognition, and the 3' end, to which the tRNAs corresponding amino acid is attached (by aminoacyl-tRNA synthetases). tRNAs cope with the degeneracy of the genetic code in two manners: having more than one tRNA (with a specific anti-codon) for a particular amino acid; and 'wobble' base-pairing, i.e. permitting non-standard base-pairing at the 3rd anti-codon position. The record is from RNAcentral. Lineage: Eukaryota; Metazoa; Chordata; Amphibia; Anura; Ranidae.
ACUUUUUUAGUAUAACUAAUAUGAGUGACUUCCAAUCACUAAAUCUUGGUGAAACCCCAAGAAAAAGUA